CAGGCUUAACACAUGCAAGUCGAGGGGCAGCAUGGUCUUAGCUUGCUAAGGCCGAUGGCGACCGGCGCACGGGUGAGUAACGCGUAUCCAACCUGCCUUACACUCUUGGACAGCCUUCUGAAAGGGAGAUUAAUACAAGAUGUUAUCAUGAGUAAGCAUUUUCACAUGAUUAAAGGUUUACCGGUGUAAGAUGGGGAUGCGUUCCAUUAGAUAGUAGGCGGGGUAACGGCCCACCUAGUCUUCGAUGGAUAGGGGUUCUGAGAGGAAGGUCCCCCACAUUGGAACUGAGACACGGUCCAAACUCCUACGGGAGGCAGCAGUGAGGAAUAUUGGUCAAUGGACGAGAGUCUGAACCAGCCAAGUAGCGUGAAGGAUGAAGGUUCUAUGGAUUGUAAACUUCUUUUAUACGGGAAUAAACGGAUCCACGUGUGGAUUUUUGCAUGUACCGUAUGAAUAAGGAUCGGCUAACUCCGUGCCAGCAGCCGCGGUAAUACGGAGGAUCCGAGCGUUAUCCGGAUUUAUUGGGUUUAAAGGGAGCGUAGAUGGGUUGUUAAGUCAGUUGUGAAAGUUUGCGGCUCAACCGUAAAAUUGCAAUUGAUACUGGCAGUCUUGAGUACAGUUGAGGUAGGCGGAAUUCGUGGUGUAGCGGUGAAAUGCUUAGAUAUCACGAAGAACUCCGAUUGCGAAGGCAGCUUACUAACCUGUAACUGACAUUGAUGCUCGAAAGUGUGGGUAUCAAACAGGAUUAGAUACCCUGGUAGUCCACACGGUAAACGAUGAAUACUCGCUGUAGGCGAUAUACAGUCUGCGGCCAAGCGAAAGCAUUAAGUAUUCCACCUGGGGAGUACGCCGGCAACGGUGAAACUCAAAGGAAUUGACGGGGGCCCGCACAAGCGGAGGAACAUGUGGUUUAAUUCGAUGAUACGCGAGGAACCUUACCCGGGCUUAAAUUGCAACCGAAUAUGGCGGAAACGCUAUAGCUAGCAAUAGCGGUUGUGAAGGUGCUGCAUGGUUGUCGUCAGCUCGUGCCGUGAGGUGUCGGCUUAAGUGCCAUAACGAGCGCAACCCUUGCCGAUAGUUACUAACAGGUCAUGCUGAGGACUCUGUCGGGACUGCCAUCGUAAGAUGUGAGGAAGGUGGGGAUGACGUCAAAUCAGCACGGCCCUUACGUCCGGGGCUACACACGUGUUACAAUGGGGGGUACAGAGGGCUGCUACCACGCAAGUGGAUGCCAAUCCCAAAAACCUCUCUCAGUUCGGAUUGAAGUCUGCAACCCGACUUCAUGAAGCUGGAUUCGCUAGUAAUCGCGCAUCAGCCACGGCGCGGUGAAUACGUUCCCGGGCCUUGUACACACCGCCCGUCAAGCCAUGGGAGCCGGGGGUACCUGAAGUGCGUAACCGCAAGGAGCGCCCUAGGGUAAAACUGGUGACUGGGGCUAA
This 1439-nucleotide ribosomal RNA is filed under the name uncultured organism. RNAcentral describes it as "16S ribosomal RNA". It matches the Rfam family "Bacterial small subunit ribosomal RNA". The record is from RNAcentral.